UACGAAGGGGGCUAGCGUUGUUCGGAUUUACUGGGCGUAAAGCGCACGUAGGCGGAUUGUUAAGUCAGGGGUGAAAUCCUGGAGCUCAACUCCAGAACUGCCUUUGAUACUGGCAAUCUUGAGUCCGGAAGAGGUGAGUGGAACUCCUAGUGUAGAGGUGGAAUUCGUAGAUAUUAGGAAGAACACCAGGGGCGAAGGCGGCUCACUGGUCCGGUACUGACGCUGAGGUGCGAAAGCGUGGGGAGCAAACAGG
This 253-nucleotide ribosomal RNA is filed under the name uncultured bacterium. RNAcentral describes it as "partial 16S ribosomal RNA". It matches the Rfam family "Bacterial small subunit ribosomal RNA", at positions 524 to 776 of the family's 1533-position model. The record is from RNAcentral.